AGGAUAAACGCUGGCGGCGUGCCUAACACAUGCAAGUCGAACGUCCUACGCAAGUAGGGAGUGGCGGACGGGUGAGUAACACGUGGGCAAUCUACCUUUCGGUGAGGAAUACCGGCGAGAAAUCGCCGACAAUACCGCAUACGCUUCGCAAGAAGCAAAGUCGCAAGACGCCGGAGGAGGAGCCUGCGCCCGAUUAGCUGGUUGGUGGAGUAAUGGUCUACCAAGGCGACGAUCGGUAGCUGGUCUGAGAGGAUGAUCAGCCACACUGGGAUUGAGAACGGCCCAGACUCCUACGGGGGGCAGCAGUGAGGAAUUUUCGUCAAUGGGGGAAACCCUGAACGAGCAACGCCGCGUGCAGGAAGGCACUUUUCGGAGUGUAAACUGCUUUUCUAGGGACGAGUAAGGACGGUACCUAAGGAAUAAGCCCCGGCUAACUACGUGCCAGCAGCCGC
RNAcentral lists this ribosomal RNA (452 nucleotides) under uncultured bacterium. Its description in RNAcentral is "SSU rRNA". It matches the Rfam family "Bacterial small subunit ribosomal RNA", at positions 26 to 518 of the family's 1533-position model. The record is from RNAcentral.